UAACCAUACCACGUUGAAACACCGCUUCUUGGACGAUCACCAAAGUUAAGCAACGUCCAGCCUGGUCUGUACCUAGAUGGGUGAUCAUUUGGGAAUGCCAGGUACUGUAAG
This is a non-coding RNA of Acanthosepion pharaonis, 111 nucleotides long. NCBI's taxonomy places the organism in Eukaryota, Metazoa, Mollusca, Cephalopoda, Sepiida, Sepiidae. The record is from the annotation of a GenBank genome assembly.